GACGAACGCUGGCGGCGUGCUUAACACAUGCAAGUCGAACGGAAAGGCCCUGCUUUUGUGGGGUGCUCGAGUGGCGAACGGGUGAGUAACACGUGAGUAACCUGCCCUUGACUUUGGGAUAACUUCAGGAAACUGGGGCUAAUAUCGGAUAGGAGCUCCUGCUGCAUGGUGGGGGUUGGAACGUUUCGGCGGUUGGGGAUGGACUCGCGGCUUAUCAGCUUGUUGGUGGGGUAGUGGCUUACCAAGGAUUUGACGGGUAGCCGGCCUGAGAGGGUGACCGGCCACAUUGGGACUGAGAUACGGCCCAGACUCCUACGGGAGGCAGCAGUGGGGAAUAUUGCACAAUGAGCGGAAGCCUGAUGCAGCAGCGCCGCGUGCGGGAUGACGGCCUUCGGGUUGUAAACCGCUUUCGCCUGUGACGAAGCGUGAGUGACGGUAAUGAGUAAAGAAGCACCGGCUAACUACGUG
RNAcentral lists this ribosomal RNA (468 nucleotides) under uncultured bacterium. RNAcentral describes it as "partial 16S ribosomal RNA". It matches the Rfam family "Bacterial small subunit ribosomal RNA", at positions 28 to 507 of the family's 1533-position model. The record is from RNAcentral.